GAUGAACGCUGGCGGCGUGCCUAAUACAUGCAAGUCGAGCGAACAGACGAGGAGCUUGCUUCUCUGACGUUAGCGGCGGACGGGUGAGUAACACGUGGAUAACCUACCUAUAAGACUGGGAUAACUUCGGGAAACCGGAGCUAAUCCCGGAUAAUAUCUUGCACCGCAUGGUUCAAUAGUGAAAGACGGUCUUGCUGUCACUUAUAGAUGGAUCCGCGCUGCAUUAGCUAGUUGGUAAGGUAACGGCUUACCAAGGCAACGAUGCAUAGCCGACCUGAGAGGGUGAUCGGCCACACUGGAACUGAGACACGGUCCAGACUCCUACGGGAGGCAGCAGUAGGGAAUCUUCCGCAAUGGGCGAAAGCCUGACGGAGCAACGCCGCGUGAGUGAUGAAGAUCUUCGGAUCGUAAAACUCUGUUAUUAGGGAAGAACAUAUGUGUAAGUAACUGUGCACGUCUUGACGGUACCUGAUCAGAAAGCCACGGCUAACUACGUG
Molecule: ribosomal RNA, 497 nt
Filed under: uncultured bacterium
Lineage: Bacteria
Description: partial 16S ribosomal RNA
Rfam family: Bacterial small subunit ribosomal RNA
Source: RNAcentral